UACGGAGGGUGCAAGCGUUAAUCGGAAUUACUGGGCGUAAAGCGUGCGUAGGCGGUUCGUUAAGUCUGGUGUGAAAGCCCCGGGCUCAACCUGGGAAUGGCAGUGGAUACUGGCGAGCUAGAGUGUGAUAGAGGAUGGUGGAAUUCCCGGUGUAGCGGUGAAAUGCGUAGAGAUCGGGAGGAACAUCAGUGGCGAAGGCGGCCAUCUGGAUCAACACUGACGCUGAGGCACGAAAGCGUGGGGAGCAAACAGG
Molecule: ribosomal RNA, 253 nt
Filed under: uncultured bacterium
Lineage: Bacteria
Description: partial 16S ribosomal RNA
Rfam family: Bacterial small subunit ribosomal RNA
Source: RNAcentral